AGCUUUAUGGCACGGUUCAAACCAGUUAAUCUUCGUUACUGUGGUUUCACAAAUGAGAAGGCAAAGGUACGGAGCCAAUUACAUAUACUACUGAUAUUUUCUUCUAUAAUAUUCAAUCAAAAUUUUAUAUUAAAUCUUUGAAACGGUUUGAAUGUGUAUUAAAAAUUAUGAUCCCUUUUAUUUGAUAACUCUUAUUUCACGAGCACCUACUGCAAAAGCUUCUGAUGAUGGUGAUUAUGAGAAACAAACAUUUUUUAGUUGCAUUCUCUUUCUGGUGACAUGUUUGAGAAUAAGGUCAAUUUAAUUUGGUCAAGAGUAAAGUUAGAUCAAUCAUGUUCGCCGCUUCUAGUGUAUGAUUCUGGUUUUUCUUUUCAGUGUUUUUGGCUGUUUUGGUUUCAUUUUUGCAGGGUUUCCUUAUUAUCUUGUAAACCAACAAUGACUGCGACGAUGUCAACAACAAUAUAUAGUAAUAACUAAGAAUCAAAAUAUUACAACAUGCAUAUAGUAUUCCUAAUUAUUAUUAUUUUGAACAAGAGUAUUCCUAAAUUAUUACAAACAGCAUUUGAUCCAUCAAACCUAAAUGAGGUUUGUACAAAGGAAUCAUCACCUUAAUAUUUAAGCUAAAACAACAUUCUUGAUUGGUUCCAUUAGAACAACAUUUUGAAGUAGAAAGUUCCAUCUGUUGUUGUUCAUGUGCAUUCAUCACUCCUUCGAUUGUGUUCAAAAUUUCUCCAACAUUUGGCCUAUUUUGUUGAGAACGUGACACACACAAGAGAGCAAUAUUCAACAAUGAAAAUGCACCUUGAUCAUGAUCAUUUUCUCUAACUUCCUUGUCAAACACUUCACCUGUCCAUUCUUCUCUCACCAUUGACCUCUCCCAUCUAACAAGGUCUAUUCUACUAACUUCUAUGCUUUGUCCUGUUAGUAGUUCUAGAAGAAUCACUCCGAAGCUAUAUACAACAUCUUUUUCGGUUAAACUCUUUUCAGGAGCUGUGUAUCCAUUAGAGGAAAAGAGAUUAGUACCUCUAUUUGGUUCAAAGAAUUUCGAUAAACCAUGUUCACCUAUUAGUGCUCAUUUUUGUCAUUUAGAAGGAUAUUUGAUUGCUUGAUGUUUCCAUGAGGAAUAAUAUUUUUCUCCCCUUCAUCCAACUUCUCAAUAAUAUUUAGAAGGAUAUUCGGUUCAAACAACUUCUCACAUUUCGAUACAUAUUUGGGAUCACAUAAAGGUGGUUAAUUAUGUGGAGUCUUGCAACUAAUCAAAAUUUAUAAUCUUAACUUAAUUACCAUUUAAAAGGUUGAGCAAACUUCCAUUGCUUUGAUAUUUGUAAAUGAUAAGUUUUUCUUCAUCGGUAGAACGAUGACCAACAAGAGGGAGAAUAUUCUUAUGUUUCACUUUACUUAUCUUCCUCAAUGUUUCUCCAAAUACAUCACAAGAUACCUGCAAAUUCUUCAAUCUUUUGACAGCAUAUUCAACAUUAUUCUCAAGUUUCACCUUGAAAAGACUACUCCAAAAGUUUUCACUUCUCAAAUCAGCUUUAGCUCUUAAUAGAUCCUCAAUUUUAAACCUCUCAUGAUCUUCAACAUUUAAAUGUACCAAUCUUCUGCAAUGCAAAAUUGAGUUUCAAAUAGUCCCUUUGAUAUUAUUGUUAGAUAAACUAACCACUUUUAGCUUUUGGAGUCUACAUAAUGAAUAUGCAUCAAAUAUGCCACUAAGGUUCAUGUUAUCAAGCCUUAUCUGUAUAAUAUGUGUAGCAUUUGAGUUACAUCUUACACCAUUGAUCAAACAUGGAUAUGAUGAUAUCUUGGUAAUGUUAAGUACAUUAUUUUGAUCAAUAGCUUUAAGGAAACUAAAGAAAGAAUGAGACUCUGAUGAUAAUGACUCACCUCUUGAACAUAACAUGACCAUAGAGAAAAUACUUAUGAUAGAAAAGUGAAAUAGCCUCCUUAGAAAUUGAACCAUUGCAAAAUCUAUUUUGUUCUUCAUUUCUUGACUUGUUUCAUUAACACUCUUGUUUUUUUAAAGGGUACCUUGAAUGAAUGAUGGUCAGUAACAUUGAUGAACUUGAUAAGGGUGCGGAAAGAGAGGGAUUCGAACCCUCGGUAAACAAAAAGCCUACAUAGCAGUUCCAAUGCUACGCCUUGAACCACUCGGCCAUCUCUCCUACAUAAUAUUUCGAAUUUUUCAUAUAAAUUGAGAAUCUAUUUUUCCUUUUUUAUUUAUCAUUUGGAAGUUUUUUUUUCUUUAUUUUUCAUAUAAAUUGAGAAUCUAUUUUUCCUUUUUUAUUUAUCAUUUGGAAGUUUUUUUUCUUUAUAUAUUGUUUCUAUGAUUUGGAUUGUUUGUUGUCACUGUUUCACGAAGUUUUACGCAUUAGUCAAUCUCGGCCAUUGAAAAACGAUCUGACGGCUCUAAUUCACCAGGACAAUUUCAUAGGUAAUAAUUUUGAUAAAGGAUGUUUAUGGAGACACUUGCUGGUGUUAAAUGGAUAUAUCCAUUGUGUUGAUCACAUAUCAAAAACAGAUGACUACCUUUAACAUAUCAAUUUUGGGUGAAUUAAGCGAGAAAGAAUCAUGGAACAAACUCUUCA
RNAcentral lists this long non-coding RNA (2585 nucleotides) under Trifolium pratense (red clover). RNAcentral describes it as "long non-coding RNA (TPRA_LNC013145)". Lineage: Eukaryota; Viridiplantae; Streptophyta; Magnoliopsida; Fabales; Fabaceae. The record is from RNAcentral.